CAGGCCUAACACAUGCAAGUCGAGCGGUAACACAGGGAGCUUGCUCCUGGGUGACGAGCGGCGGACGGGUGAGUAAUGUCUGGGAAACUGCCUGAUGGAGGGGGAUAACUACUGGAAACGGUAGCUAAUACCGCAUAACGUCGCAAGACCAAAGAGGGGGACCUUCGGGCCUCUUGCCAUCGGAUGUGCCCAGAUGGGAUUAGCUAGUAGGUGGGGUAACGGCUCACCUAGGCGACGAUCCCUAGCUGGUCUGAGAGGAUGACCAGCCACACUGGAACUGAGACACGGUCCAGACUCCUACGGGAGGCAGCAGUGGGGAAUAUUGCACAAUGGGCGCAAGCCUGAUGCAGCCAUGCCGCGUGUAUGAAGAAGGCCUUCGGGUUGUAAAGUACUUUCAGCGGGGAGGAAGGCGAUAAGGUUAAUAACCUUGUCGAUUGACGUUACCCGCAGAAGAAGCACCGGCUAACUCCGUGCCAGCAGCCGCGGUAAU
RNAcentral lists this ribosomal RNA (490 nucleotides) under uncultured bacterium. RNAcentral describes it as "bacterial SSU rRNA". It matches the Rfam family "Bacterial small subunit ribosomal RNA", at positions 43 to 524 of the family's 1533-position model. The record is from RNAcentral.